Molecule: ribosomal RNA, 486 nt
Filed under: uncultured bacterium
Lineage: Bacteria
Description: partial 16S ribosomal RNA
Rfam family: Bacterial small subunit ribosomal RNA
Source: RNAcentral
AUUGAACGCUGGCGGCAUGCCUUACACAUGCAAGUCGAACGGCAGCACGGGUGCUUGCACCUGGUGGCGAGUGGCGAACGGGUGAGUAAUACAUCGGAACAUGUCCUGUAGUGGGGGAUAGCCCGGCGAAAGCCGGAUUAAUACCGCAUACGAUCUACGGAUGAAAGCGGGGGAUCUUCGGACCUCGCGCUAUAGGGUUGGCCGAUGGCUGAUUAGCUAGUUGGUGGGGUAAAGGCCUACCAAGGCGACGAUCAGUAGCUGGUCUGAGAGGACGACCAGCCACACUGGGACUGAGACACGGCCCAGACUCCUACGGGAGGCAGCAGUGGGGAAUGUUGGACAAUGGGCGAAAGCCUGAUCCAGCAAUGCCGCGUGUGUGAAGAAGGCCUUCGGGUUGUAAAGCACUUUUGUCCGGAAAGAAAUCCUUGGCUCUAAUACAGUCGGGGGAUGACGGUACCGGAAGAAUAAGCACCGGCUAACUACGUG